CGAGCAUAGGUUCCUCCCAAGAUGCCACCCGCUUCAUUCAAGUGUCUGGCAGCACUGUGUUCCUGUUAGAGCCACCAGCACAAGCACCAGACGAUGCUGAUCCAGGUGAAGGCCCCAGUGCAGCAGCAACAGCACAUGAUGGAGACGA
Oncorhynchus tshawytscha (Chinook salmon) is the source of this 148-nucleotide long non-coding RNA. RefSeq lists it as uncharacterized. The record is from RefSeq and is a predicted model, not a curated record. Lineage: Eukaryota; Metazoa; Chordata; Actinopteri; Salmoniformes; Salmonidae. The transcript has 3 exons.